This 510-nucleotide ribosomal RNA is filed under the name Bifidobacterium animalis subsp. lactis. RNAcentral describes it as "bacterial SSU rRNA". It matches the Rfam family "Bacterial small subunit ribosomal RNA", at positions 1013 to 1520 of the family's 1533-position model. The record is from RNAcentral. Lineage: Bacteria; Bacillati; Actinomycetota; Actinomycetes; Bifidobacteriales; Bifidobacteriaceae.
GUUUCCCUUCGGGGCCGGUUCACAGGUGAUACAUGGUCGUGUGCAGCUCGUGUCGUGAGAUGUUGGGUUAAGUCCCGCAACGAGCGCAACCCUCGCCGCAUGUUGCCAGCGGGUGAUGCCGGGAACUCAUGUGGGACCGCCGGGGUCAACUCGGAGGAAGGUGGGGAUGACGUCAGAUCAUCAUGCCCCUUACGUCCAGGGCUUCACGCAUGCUACAAUGGCCGGUACAACGCGGUGCGACACGGUGACGUGGGGCGGAUCGCUGAAAACCGGUCUCAGUUCGGAUCGCAGUCUGCAACUCGACUGCGUGAAGGCGGAGUCGCUAGUAAUCGCGGAUCAGCAACGCCGCGGUGAAUGCGUUCCCGGGCCUUGUACACACCGCCCGUCAAGUCAUGAAAGUGGGUAGCACCCGAAGCCGGUGGCCCGACCCUUGUGGGGGGAGCCGUCUAAGGUGAGACUCGUGAUUGGGACUAAGUCGUAACAAGGUAGCCGUACCGGAAGGUGCGGCUG